This 460-nucleotide ribosomal RNA is filed under the name uncultured bacterium. RNAcentral describes it as "partial 16S ribosomal RNA". It matches the Rfam family "Bacterial small subunit ribosomal RNA", at positions 338 to 795 of the family's 1533-position model. The record is from RNAcentral.
CCUACGGGUGGCAGCAGUGAGGAAUAUUGGUCAAUGGACGAGAGUCUGAACCAGCCAAGUAGCGUGAAGGAUGACUGCCCUAUGGGUUGUAAACUUCUUUUAUAUGGGAAUAAAAUGUUCCACGUGUGGGAUUUUGUAUGUACCAUAUGAAUAAGGAUCGGCUAACUCCGUGCCAGCAGCCGCGGUAAUACGGAGGAUCCGAGCGUUAUCCGGAUUUAUUGGGUUUAAAGGGAGCGUAGGUGGAUUGUUAAGUCAGUUGUGAAAGUUUGCGGCUCAACCGUAAAAUUGCAGUUGAAACUGGCAGUCUUGAGUACAGUAGAGGUGGGCGGAAUUCGUGGGGUAGCGGUGAAAUGCUUAGAUAUCACGAAGAACUCCGAUUGCGAAGGCAGUUCACUGGACUGCAACUGACACUGAGGCGCGAAAGUGUGGGUAUCAAACAGGAUUAGAUACCCUAGUAGUC